GCGCUCGUAGCUCAGCUGGAUAGAGCAUCAGACUUCGAAUCUGAGGGUCGGGGGUUCGAAUCCCUCCGAGCGCGCCA
This 77-nucleotide transfer RNA is filed under the name Xanthobacteraceae bacterium. RNAcentral describes it as "tRNA-Arg". It matches the Rfam family "tRNA". From Rfam's summary of the family: Transfer RNA (tRNA) molecules are approximately 80 nucleotides in length. Their secondary structure includes four short double-helical elements and three loops (D, anti-codon, and T loops). Lineage: Bacteria; Pseudomonadati; Pseudomonadota; Alphaproteobacteria; Hyphomicrobiales; Xanthobacteraceae. The record is from RNAcentral. RNAcentral also lists the same sequence under 1 other name.